GGAGCCUGCGGUUUAAUUGGAUUCAACGCCGGAAAUCUCACCGGGGCGACAGCAAUAUGAAGGUCAGGCUGAAGACCUUACCCGAUUAGCUGAGAGGUGGUGCAUGGCCGUCGUCAGUUCGUACUGUGAAGCAUCCUGUUAAGUCAGGCAACGAGCGAGACCCACGUCCACAGUUGCCAGCAUACCCUCCGGGGUGAUGGGUACACUGUGGAGACCGCCGCUGCUAAAGCGGAGGAAGGAGUGGGCAACGGUAGGUCAGUAUGCCCCGAAUCUCCCGGGCUACACGCGGGCUACAAUGGUUGGUACAAUGGGCAUCUACCCCGAAAGGGGAAGGAAAUCUCUUAAAGCCAAUCGUAGUUCGGAUUGAGGGCUGCAACUCGCCCUCAUGAAGCUGGAAUCCGUAGUAAUCGCGUUUCAACAGAACGCGGUGAAUACGUCCCUGCUCCUU
RNAcentral lists this ribosomal RNA (448 nucleotides) under uncultured Methanosaeta sp. RNAcentral's name for it is "bacterial SSU rRNA". It matches the Rfam family "Archaeal small subunit ribosomal RNA", at positions 890 to 1338 of the family's 1478-position model. The record is from RNAcentral. Lineage: Archaea; Methanobacteriati; Methanobacteriota; Methanomicrobia; Methanotrichales; Methanotrichaceae.